This 618-nucleotide ribosomal RNA is filed under the name Triticum aestivum (bread wheat). RNAcentral describes it as "partial small subunit ribosomal RNA". The record is from RNAcentral. Lineage: Eukaryota; Viridiplantae; Streptophyta; Magnoliopsida; Poales; Poaceae.
AUGGAACUGUCCUUCAAGGAGUAUUUCGACAAGCUGACCGGCUCCCUCGACACGAUCCACGCUGACAUCCGCGGCCACACCAGCAAGCUCGACGACCUGGCCCAGUGGCGGCCGGAUCUGGAGUGGCGCGUGGAUCAGCUCUCUGCCGCGGUCGCCGAACUCCAACAAGCACGGCCGACCCCAUCUGCGGAGGGGCAGCCCACGGUGGCGCCCGCGCCACCACCACCUGCACCACCAGCGCCUCUGCAUGACCACGUCGGUACCAGCCAGAGCGCGGAGAGCGGCGCCCUCGGGUCCAUUGACCACGGCAUCGACGUUCUACCACGGGGACUGGCGCCGGCGUUCACGUUGGUGGCCACCUCGGCCAAGGGUCAGUUGCCCGUUCCCGCAUCCCCAUCCGUCCUCUCUCCGUAUGCGCACGCCAGCCAACUCCUAGCUGGGAUCGGCCAGGCUCAUCCCUCGAUCGGAUUUCCCCAAUUCACGGGUGAAAAUCCGUGUCUGUGGAGGACUCUCUGUGAGCAGUAUUUCAAUAUGUUCGGAAUUCAGGAAAAAUUCUGGGUUCCAAUGGCUUCACUAAAUUUUACGGGCGCCGCGUCUAUGUGGUUACAAUCAGUUUAG